AUUGUAAAUAAACUUGUGAGGGAGAGUUUAAGGAGUUGACAAUUUUGCUACA
Molecule: small RNA, 52 nt
Filed under: Lysinibacillus xylanilyticus
Lineage: Bacteria; Bacillati; Bacillota; Bacilli; Caryophanales; Bacillaceae
Description: Bacillus-plasmid RNA
Source: RNAcentral